UUGUAUUAAGUUUAAUUCACUUAUGCAUUUUCUCUAGGUGGCUUUUUUACCGAACAAGAUAUUAAGAGCCUACCAUGUUUACAGGUGAUGGCAAUUCCGACAACCUGGGGUAUUGAAAAAACCACCCAAUCUUUUGGCUGAAGAGCUUAAAGUGAUGUCAAAAGAAGUUGAGUAUAGUUAGUUGGCUGAUGUAGCAACGAUAAGUAGUAAGUGCUGGGAACUAUGAAGUGGAAGUAUGACUACUAAG
This is a long non-coding RNA of Helianthus annuus (common sunflower), 247 nucleotides long. RefSeq lists it as uncharacterized. The transcript has 3 exons. Lineage: Eukaryota; Viridiplantae; Streptophyta; Magnoliopsida; Asterales; Asteraceae. The record is from RefSeq and is a predicted model, not a curated record.